RNAcentral lists this ribosomal RNA (804 nucleotides) under Streptomyces thermocarboxydus. RNAcentral describes it as "bacterial SSU rRNA". It matches the Rfam family "Bacterial small subunit ribosomal RNA", at positions 46 to 866 of the family's 1533-position model. The record is from RNAcentral. Lineage: Bacteria; Bacillati; Actinomycetota; Actinomycetes; Kitasatosporales; Streptomycetaceae.
GCUUACCAUGCAAGUCGAACGAUGAAGCCCUUCGGGGUGGAUUAGUGGCGAACGGGUGAGUAACACGUGGGCAAUCUGCCCUGCACUCUGGGACAAGCCCUGGAAACGGGGUCUAAUACCGGAUACUGAUCGCCUUGGGCAUCCUUGGUGAUCGAAAGCUCCGGCGGUGCAGGAUGAGCCCGCGGCCUAUCAGCUUGUUGGUGAGGUAAUGGCUCACCAAGGCGACGACGGGUAGCCGGCCUGAGAGGGCGACCGGCCACACUGGGACUGAGACACGGCCCAGACUCCUACGGGAGGCAGCAGUGGGGAAUAUUGCACAAUGGGCGAAAGCCUGAUGCAGCGACGCCGCGUGAGGGAUGACGGCCUUCGGGUUGUAAACCUCUUUCAGCAGGGAAGAAGCGAAAGUGACGGUACCUGCAGAAGAAGCGCCGGCUAACUACGUGCCAGCAGCCGCGGUAAUACGUAGGGCGCGAGCGUUGUCCGGAAUUAUUGGGCGUAAAGAGCUCGUAGGCGGCUUGUCGCGUCGGUUGUGAAAGCCCGGGGCUUAACCCCGGGUCUGCAGUCGAUACGGGCAGGCUAGAGUUCGGUAGGGGAGAUCGGAAUUCCUGGUGUAGCGGUGAAAUGCGCAGAUAUCAGGAGGAACACCGGUGGCGAAGGCGGAUCUCUGGGCCGAUACUGACGCUGAGGAGCGAAAGCGUGGGGAGCGAACAGGAUUAGAUACCCUGGUAGUCCACGCCGUAAACGGUGGGCACUAGGUGUGGGCGACAUUCCACGUCGUCCGUGCCGCAGCUAACGCAUUAAGUG